RNAcentral lists this long non-coding RNA (1075 nucleotides) under Marmota monax (woodchuck). The record is from RNAcentral. Lineage: Eukaryota; Metazoa; Chordata; Mammalia; Rodentia; Sciuridae.
CUAUCACACACAACAUUUCAGCUUUUGUUUUUUGUGGGGCAGGGAUUUGAACCUAAGACAUUUGGCUCACCAAACAGGAGCUCUUAUCACAGAGCUACACCUUUAGCCUGCAUCUUUUCUUUGUUUUUUGAGUUCAGAACCAAAAUUGACUUCAGAACAGGAAAGCAUCUUUCUAAACCAUUAUUACUGAGUACUUUGAAAAUUAGCUUUUGAUACAAGUUUGAUGUUUCUUAAGGAAUUCAAACUAAAAUUAUGGUGCAAAACAGUGUUUAUAUGCAAAAUGUAUACUGCAGAAAAAGCCAUUUCAAUGAUAACUAACAUUGUUUUGAAACACAAGCAAUGUUAAAUUGCUUUAAAAAUUUCUGUAUUAUCCAAAGUUAAACUAAGAAGCAAGAUCUCCAUUCCCAUGCAGUUUUGCAGCAGAUACAUUUUUCUCAACUUAAAUUACAGUUGUAAAGACAUUGUAUAGAACUUGAUGCCAAGAGCAUUGGAAAUUCCCAUAUUUCAAAAUCCACUUAAUUAUGCAUCCACCUAACCUCCAUUUGAAGGUGAUUAAUCUGCAAUAUGCUAAAAGGCAAAUAUCAAGAGAAAGUCUAACAGAAUUCUAUAAAUACCUUCCAACAAUGAAGAUUAUGCUUAAUUAAAAUCAUAUGUUUACAGACUGAUAUGGGUAUUGGCACUACCAUUUAGAUGAAAACCAUUUUCAAAGAUGAAACAUGUAGGGCUGGGGCUGUACUUCAGUGACUCGCCUAGCACAUAUAAGGCACUGUGUUCGAUUCUCAGCACCACAUAAAAAUAAAUAAGUAAGAUAAAGGUAUUGUGUCCAUCUACAACUAAAAAAAAUUUUUUUUAAAGAUGAAAACACAUUAUAGGUCAGCAUUGAUACACUUCAGCAAGUGGUAGGGAACACUAUCUUUGAACACUAAUAAAACGGAAUGUGAUGCCAAACAAAAAAAUUCCAUUUGUCUCAUUAGUGUACCUGGAUUACAAAACAGAUUAUACCUGGUUGGGGGUUCAACUCAGUGAUAAGCUUAGCAUACACAAGGCUGUUAGAUCUCCAGAACCACACACACAC